AUUGAACGCUGGCGGCAGGCCUAACACAUGCAAGUCGAGCGGUAACAGGGGAAGCUUGCUUCUCGCUGACGGGCGGCGGACGGGUGAGUAAUGUAUGGGGAUCUGCCCGAUAGAGGGGGAUAACUACUGGAAACGGUAGCUAAUACCGCAUAAUCUCUUAGGAGCAAAGCAGGGGAACUUCGGUCCUUGCGCUAUCGGAUGAACCCAUAUGGGAUUAGCUAGUAGGG
This 227-nucleotide ribosomal RNA is filed under the name uncultured bacterium. Its description in RNAcentral is "partial 16S ribosomal RNA". It matches the Rfam family "Bacterial small subunit ribosomal RNA", at positions 30 to 253 of the family's 1533-position model. The record is from RNAcentral.